GUGCUCUCUUCAACAGCAUAGAUACUAAAAUUGGAAUAAUUUUAGAGAGAUAAGUAUGGCCCCUGGGCAAAUUUAUGAAGCAUUCCAUUUUUUC
Molecule: small nuclear RNA, 94 nt
Filed under: Canis lupus dingo (dingo)
Lineage: Eukaryota; Metazoa; Chordata; Mammalia; Carnivora; Canidae
Source: RNAcentral